GGAGGGGUCGCAUAGUGGACUAGUGCGUUAGUCUUGAAAACUAAUGUGGGCGCAAGCCUACCGCGAGUUCGAAUCUCGCCCCCUCCGCCA
RNAcentral lists this transfer RNA (90 nucleotides) under Candidatus Roizmanbacteria bacterium RIFOXYA1_FULL_37_12. Its description in RNAcentral is "tRNA-Ser". It matches the Rfam family "tRNA". Rfam says of the family: Transfer RNA (tRNA) molecules are approximately 80 nucleotides in length. RNAcentral also lists the same sequence under 6 other names. Lineage: Bacteria; Candidatus Roizmaniibacteriota. The record is from RNAcentral.